RNAcentral lists this ribosomal RNA (205 nucleotides) under uncultured bacterium. RNAcentral describes it as "partial 16S ribosomal RNA". It matches the Rfam family "Bacterial small subunit ribosomal RNA", at positions 524 to 730 of the family's 1533-position model. The record is from RNAcentral.
UACGGAGGGUGGCAAGCGUUAUCCGGAUUACUGGGUUAAAGGGUGUGUAGGCGGACUUUAAGUCAGGGUGAAUCCGAGGCUCAACCUCGGAAACUGCCUUUGAUACUAUUGGAUCUUGAAUGUUGUUGAGGUGGGCGGAACGGGUCAUGUAGCGGUGAAAUGCAGUAGAUAUGACCCGGAACACCGAAGUUGACGAACGGCAGCC